This 699-nucleotide ribosomal RNA is filed under the name Triticum aestivum (bread wheat). RNAcentral's name for it is "partial small subunit ribosomal RNA". Lineage: Eukaryota; Viridiplantae; Streptophyta; Magnoliopsida; Poales; Poaceae. The record is from RNAcentral.
AUGAAUAGUAAUAGGGCUCCUGGUUCGGAUAGCAUUCCGGCCAAGUUUUACCAACAUUGCUGGGAGAUAGUAAAGAAUGACAUCAUGAAUUUGUUUCAUGCUUUUCAUAGGGGGCUGGAUGUUUACAGGUUGAACUAUGGCAUCAUUACCCUUCUUCCUAAGAUUUCUGGAGCAGAUAAGAUUCAACAAUUCAGGCCAAUAUGUCUGUUGAGAUGCCCUUAUAAACUGAUUACAAAAGUUCUAUACAAUAGAGUGGCCCUUUUCGCUGAUGUUUUGUUUAGCAAACAUCAAAAUGCCUUUAUCAAAGGCAGGAACAUUAUGGAUGGGGUUCUAUCUUUGCACGAGGUUCUUCACCAUACCUAUGUGAAGAAAAAAUGUGGUGUUGUCAUUAAGCUCGAUUUUGAGAAAGCAUAUGACAAGGUUAACUGGGACUUCCUUUUGAAGUGUCUCGAGGACAGAGGCUUUGGGAAGACUUGGUGUGAGUGGAUGAGAAACAUACUGCAUAAUGGCACAGUUUGUGUCAAGCUAAACAAUACAAUGGGUCCAUACUUCCAAAGCUAUAAAGGGGUCAGACAGGGAGAUCCUGUUUCCCCGUUCCUGUUUAAUAUUGCUGCUGAAUGCUUAUGUAAAAUGGUGCUGCAAGCAAAAAAAAGAAUCUCUUUGUUGGGUUGGCCGCGGACCUGGUCGAGAAUGGGGUAG